CAAAAUAAAGCUUAAAAGUUAGGCAUCUCAUUUACAUUGAGGGUUAUUUCUGUGCGAUUCAGAUUAUUUUGA
Molecule: transfer RNA, 72 nt
Filed under: Phaneroptera nigroantennata
Lineage: Eukaryota; Metazoa; Arthropoda; Insecta; Orthoptera; Tettigoniidae
Description: tRNA-Val
Rfam family: tRNA
About the family: Transfer RNA (tRNA) molecules are approximately 80 nucleotides in length. Their secondary structure includes four short double-helical elements and three loops (D, anti-codon, and T loops). Further hydrogen bonds mediate the characteristic L-shaped molecular structure. tRNAs have two regions of fundamental functional importance: the anti-codon, which is responsible for specific mRNA codon recognition, and the 3' end, to which the tRNAs corresponding amino acid is attached (by aminoacyl-tRNA synthetases). tRNAs cope with the degeneracy of the genetic code in two manners: having more than one tRNA (with a specific anti-codon) for a particular amino acid; and 'wobble' base-pairing, i.e. permitting non-standard base-pairing at the 3rd anti-codon position.
Source: RNAcentral